AUGUCCAUUCUCAAAACACCAUUUUUGAACUUAACACUGAAGUGCUGCAAAAACCUUAUUUUUUUUUACGAAAUUUGGCACAUGUGCCUGUGCCUGUCAGUUAAUUUGGGUGAGGACCUUCAUUUUGUGCAGCAGUCUGCAGCCCAGAUCCAUGAAAGCGACAUUGCUGCAAUAUUAUGGAAAUGUUCCUCAGAAACCGUGUGUCAACAUCGCAAAAAAAUUAUUAUUUUGAAACAAAUUGAUGGCAGCACGCCGAAACCAAAAUAUAGCAUCAAAAAUCAGUUCUUAAUUAGUUGACACUCCGUAGUUCCUGGACGACUCAAUGAAGAUGUCAGGCCGCAUUGACAAACUCCGAAAAUUGUUGCAGCUUUGAACUUGAUAUUUCGUUCAAGAUGUACGACGAACCUCGUUAGCUGUAUCAUAGACCUCAAUGGAGAUGUUGCAUGUGUGAGGGAUUCGCGAUUUGACCAGAGAUUCUUAUGUAAAAGUUCGCGAGAAACACAAUGGUGCCAGUGGUUUCCUCUGAAAUC
RNAcentral lists this long non-coding RNA (530 nucleotides) under Bemisia tabaci. Its description in RNAcentral is "lncRNA ENSASIAIIG001691". Lineage: Eukaryota; Metazoa; Arthropoda; Insecta; Hemiptera; Aleyrodidae. The record is from RNAcentral.